Long non-coding RNA from Passer domesticus (house sparrow), 3362 nucleotides. RefSeq lists it as uncharacterized. The record is from RefSeq and is a predicted model, not a curated record. The transcript is spliced from 3 exons. NCBI's taxonomy places the organism in Eukaryota, Metazoa, Chordata, Aves, Passeriformes, Passeridae.
UGGAGGGCAGCAGUGCUGUAGGACAGCCCUGUGACCACGGCUGAGCUACAGCAGCAGCCUGGGGCAGGCUGAGAGGCCAAAGCAGCCUCAAGCAGGGCUUUGGGAACUACUGGCUGUGGGUGGCUCUGGGCUACAAGGGGUGCUUCUUUUUGCAGUUUACAUUGGGCAUCAAAAAGCACAGAGCCAGCAGCUGAGCCAGGAGGUGUAAAAAUAGAGCACUGGUAGAUAGCACAGCGUGCUGGGGCUGGAUGUAACCCGAGCACACACUGGUGUCAGAAAGAAGAGGGAAGGGGAAAGGGAAGGGCAGAAUUACACAACUUUGGCUGCUAGGAAAAGCUCUGAAUCAAAAAUAAAACUCGGUGUGUGUGUUUUGGCCCGGUGGCAUGUCUCAGAGGGAAGCAGCACGCUGAGCUGCCAAGUGUGAGGCCGGGAUCAAGAGGAACAUCUGUGUCCGGACUUCCCGCACUGCCAGGAGACUGGCAGGCUGUAGGGAUGACACCUCUGGUCAGGAGGAGGGGAAGGGCGUUGUGACAAGGUUGGAGGAGGGAGGUGGCCUUUGCCUAUGAUAAGAGCACUCCCCACAGCAGCGAGAGGCAGGAGCUCUUUGUGGUGAGAGCUGGUGGCCCAGAUCACAGCGCUGCAGAGUCCCACGGGGGGUGCUGGGGAAUGUUCACACUCCCUUUCCUCAGGCACUAAUUUUGUGCAAUCGUUUACGCCAAACGAUAAAGGAACUGAUUGCAGAUCCAUAUGGAAAAUGGUGCCGUGCAUCUCUGCAGAGAUAUUCCAAGCGUACCAUGGGACAUAAGAUCUGAAGGAGGGAGAACUGGAAAAUUAUUUAUUCACAGAGAAAUGCAGCUUGUAGGAAGCCAAGAUUAUGCAGUUCAGUUGAAGUUUAAACUGGAAAACAGCUUUGGCAAGAAAAAAGUAUGCAGAAAUUGUUUCUAAAAAAAUUCAUUAAUAUCUAUCUUUUCAUAGAGUCACUUCCAUGAAGAAACAUCUCUAUGGGGAAGGGAAAUUCAAGUAUCGUUCCCUGAAGGACUCAAGAACCAUUCUCCAAGGGGAGGAGCACAAAUGCCCUCAAAAUGGUUAAAUAUAAACCAGUGAUUAAAUAAUAUUAGCAUAUUAGCUAUUCGUUCAUGUGGGAACUCCACAUCCCCAAGUGAUGUUCUCCUCCUAAAAGUGUCAAAUCCCUUGUACUCUGUCCCUGAUUCUGUGGGGAUGCUGCUAUUUGCACAGGAGCAGAGGAACCUCCACCCCUGUGGGAUCUGCUCUGAUAGCUGCACACUGUCCAGCAGGAUGGAAAAUUGUGUUUCAGUCUCUUUCUGCAGCAAACCCACAACCGAGCUCCACUCCAUAAUAUUUUAGCAAGCCACCUUCAGCCUGGAAUGCAGACAGCCACAGAUAAUUCAUGUCAGGUUGGGUGACCUUCUGCAGCUCAUCACCUUGGGAAAUCAGCCUUUUCUCACCUCUGGCUCUGCACCAGCCUUUCAGGAGACACAGCAGAGGGGAUGAAGAAAACAGUGAGAGUGUGCCAGGUGAAGAGAAAGCCUCCACCUUUACAUGUGAUCAAACUAUUUUUGCCCCAGCUUCGGACCCCGUUGUGAGACAAAUGUUCAUGUCUGCAAAUGCUGGAAAGUAAACGGUGACAAAUUUUAGUCUAGCCAGUAAAAACUUUCACCCAGGCUCUCUCAAAAUUAAGCGGGUUUUGUUAUGCUAACAAGUGUUAGCCCCCAGGAAGGGAGGGGCUGACCCUCCCAGCUGAGGUGCAGGCUGGUCCUGCCACCUUCAGUGAUGACCUGAUCGUGUGACAACUCAUCUUCAUGUGACAUUGGGUUCUUUAAUUAGAAGCCGUGGUGUGGAAAGGGAAGGAGUCAAAAAAUAUUUGCUUAAUAUCCCACCAGAAGGAUGGGAUUGAGUCAAGCAUGCCAUAAACUCCAGGAGUGCACCAGCUUGGCCACCAGAAAACAGAGUGAAGGCCAGGGACAAGCAGCCUUUGGCAGCUGAGAGAGAAUUCAUCAGGCAUGUAGGACAAGCAGGAGGCCUGCACGCCUGUUCUGAACCUACCCAGAUCUUCCACAGUGGUGUUAAAUGUGUAGUUGGAUUGCAAAUAAAAACUAUUGGCCAAGAAUUACCCUAAACCCACACAGUCAUUUCACAAGAAAAGCCCUGGCUUUCGGAUGGUAUUUAAUUCUUGGUAGAUAUACGAGCACUCCUUCUUGUGGCUCAUAUAGAAGUAAAGCUUUGGACUGGUUACCCAUAACCCUGUGGCUGAGAUGAUCUGCUGCUGGGCUAAAGGCCUCAGCAGAGACAGAGAAGUGAGACUCCAGCAGAGGUUCCUGAAGCUCUGGCCAGGUCUCCAUCAGCAUUGGGCCAGCUGGGCACAUGUGUGGGUUCACAGAGCCAAUUCAGGAAAAAAAACCCUAUGAGCCACAUGAGCACAUGCAGGAGGGCUUGGGGCACCUCUGCUGACCUGGCAGUCCAUCCAGACCAGCAAUUCCAGAACUCUUUGGGGGAAAAAAUAGAAAAGCACAAAAAAAAUCCCUCCUGUGCCCCCAAACAGGUCCCAGGUGAGUCUCUUUUUAGAGGAAUCACCUUAUGCUGUAUCACCAAGGAAGCAGCCACAGAAGCAGAAGGCAAUCCUUCCAGAUUUAAUGCAACAGCCACAUGCAAUGACACACACAGUUCAUCACUGAGGCAGGUAGCAGGGCCCUCUGCUCUCAUUCAUAUGAAUAUAAUGCCUACAGCAAUGCAAGGCAUCAACAUUUUUAGAGCCAGCAGUUUGACUUUCAUUGCUCCGUUAUUUUUAAUCGUUUUAAUCUGCGCUUUUAGCAUUCCGCUUCUUCUCUUUUUUUACUUCCAAACAAGACAAAAAGUGUGCAGCAGCUAAUACCUCUGUUUUUAAUGGCUUGAAAAACAAUGAAGGAACAUUAAGCAGUUCCCAAGCCUUCCGGAGCAGUGGUAUUUUUAAAGAUGAGAUUGAUCAAAGAGGCUGUGAACUCCAGUGGAGAUGGAUUGGCUCAGCACUGUAACGCCAGCAUGGAGGCUGCUCCAGCCUGGAUCCCAGCCUUUGCCUUUCAUCUGCUUAGUGUUCCAGUGGCCAAAACUCCUUUGCUGAAAUAAGACUCAGCCAAGUACAAAAAAAAUCCCACGUUUCUUCUAAAAGUUCAGGGACAGGGAAUUAAUUAAUUAAUUUUUGUACCAGUUGAUUGUUUUUGCCACUGCUUCACUUCAAGCAGGGAACAGAAAAAUCCUCUCCCUGAGGCUGCUCUCACAUGUCUGAGCUCUCCCAGCUUGAGAGCAGCAGCUCAGCAGCACAUGAGGAAGGAGAGAAGAUUUUAGUCCAUUUAUUGCCACCUGAAGCA